CACCUACUCCCUCCGUUCAGAAUUACUUGUCAUAAAAAUGGAUGUAUCUACAACUAAAAUACAUCUAGACACAUUCAUUUCUUGGACGAGUAAUUCCUAACGGAGGGAGUACAAU
This is a non-coding RNA of Triticum aestivum (bread wheat), 115 nucleotides long. The record is from Rfam. NCBI's taxonomy places the organism in Eukaryota, Viridiplantae, Streptophyta, Magnoliopsida, Poales, Poaceae.